Molecule: ribosomal RNA, 496 nt
Filed under: uncultured bacterium
Lineage: Bacteria
Description: partial 16S ribosomal RNA
Rfam family: Bacterial small subunit ribosomal RNA
Source: RNAcentral
AUGAACGCUGGCGGCGUGCCUAAUACAUGCAAGUCGCGCGAACAGACGAGGAGCUUGCUCCUCUGACGUUGGCGGCGGACGGGUGAGUAACACGUGGAUAACCUACCUAUAAGACUGGGAUAACUUCGGGAAACCGGAGCUAAUACCGGAUAAUAUAUUGAACCGCAUGGUUCAAUAGUGAAAGACGGUUUUGCUGUCACUUAUAGAUGGAUCCGCGCCGCAUUAGCUAGUUGGUAAGGUAACGGCUUACCAAGGCAACGAUGCGUAGCCGACCUGAGAGGGUGAUCGGCCACACUGGAACUGAGACACGGUCCAGACUCCUACGGGAGGCAGCAGUAGGGAAUCUUCCGCAAAGGGCGAAAGCCUGACGGAGCAACGCCGCGUGAGUGAUGAAGGUCUUCGGAUCGUAAAACUCUGUUAUUAGGGAAGAACAAAUGUGUAAGUAACUAUGCACGUCUUGACGGUACCUAAUCAGAAAGCCACGGCUAACUACGUG